RNAcentral lists this ribosomal RNA (253 nucleotides) under uncultured bacterium. RNAcentral describes it as "partial 16S ribosomal RNA". It matches the Rfam family "Bacterial small subunit ribosomal RNA", at positions 524 to 776 of the family's 1533-position model. The record is from RNAcentral.
UACGGGGGGGGUAAGCGUUGUUCGGAAUUACUGGGCGUAAAGGGCUCGUAGGCGGCCAACUAAGUCAUACGUGAAAUCCCUCAGCUUAACUGGGGAACUGCGUGUGAUACUGGAUGGCUUGGAUUUGGGAGAGGGAUGCGGAAUUCCAGGUGUAGCGGUGAAAUGCGUAGAUAUCAGGAGGAACACCUAAGGCGAAGGCAGCUCGCUGGAACGGUACUGACGCUGAGGCGCGAAAGCGUGGGGAGCAAACAGG